Molecule: ribosomal RNA, 2928 nt
Filed under: Salmonella enterica subsp. enterica serovar Enteritidis str. SA19940857
Lineage: Bacteria; Pseudomonadati; Pseudomonadota; Gammaproteobacteria; Enterobacterales; Enterobacteriaceae
Description: bacterial LSU rRNA
Rfam family: Bacterial large subunit ribosomal RNA
Source: RNAcentral
GGGUUGUGAGGUUAAGCGACUAAGCGUACACGGUGGAUGCCCUGGCAGUCAGAGGCGAUGAAGGGCGUGCUAAUCUGCGAUAAGCGCCGGUAAGGUGAUAUGAACCGUUAUAACCGGCGAUACCCGAAUGGGGAAACCCAGUGUGAUUCGUCACACUAUCAUUAACUGAAUCCAUAGGUUAAUGAGGCGAACCGGGGGAACUGAAACAUCUAAGUACCCCGAGGAAAAGAAAUCAACCGAGAUUCCCCCAGUAGCGGCGAGCGAACGGGGAGGAGCCCAGAGCCUGAAUCAGCAUGUGUGUUAGUGGAAGCGUCUGGAAAGGCGCGCGAUACAGGGUGACAGCCCCGUACACAAAAGCGCAUGUGCUGUGAGCUCGAUGAGUAGGGCGGGACACGUGGUAUCCUGUCUGAAUAUGGGGGGACCAUCCUCCAAGGCUAAAUACUCCUGACUGACCGAUAGUGAACCAGUACCGUGAGGGAAAGGCGAAAAGAACCCCGGCGAGGGGAGUGAAAAAGAACCUGAAACCGUGUACGUACAAGCAGUGGGAGCNNNNNNNNNNNNGUGUGACUGCGUACCUUUUGUAUAAUGGGUCAGCGACUUAUAUUCUGUAGCAAGGUUAACCGAAUAGGGGAGCCGGAGGGAAACCGAGUCUUAAUUGGGCGUUAAGUUGCAGGGUAUAGACCCGAAACCCGGUGAUCUAGCCAUGGGCAGGUUGAAGGUUGGGUAACACUAACUGGAGGACCGAACCGACUAAUGUUGAAAAAUUAGCGGAUGACCUGUGGCUGGGGGUGAAAGGCCAAUCAAACCGGGAGAUAGCUGGUUCUCCCCGAAAGCUAUUUAGGUAGCGCCUCGUGAAUUCAUCUCCGGGGGUAGAGCACUGUUUCGGCUAGGGGGCCAUCCCGGCUUACCAACCCGAUGCAAACUGCGAAUACCGGAGAAUGUUAUCACGGGAGACACACGGCGGGUGCUAACGUCCGUCGUGAAGAGGGAAACAACCCAGACCGCCAGCUAAGGUCCCAAAGUCAUGGUUAAGUGGGAAACGAUGUGGGAAGGCCCAGACAGCCAGGAUGUUGGCUUAGAAGCAGCCAUCAUUUAAAGAAAGCGUAAUAGCUCACUGGUCGAGUCGGCCUGCGCGGAAGAUGUAACGGGGCUAAACCAUGCACCGAAGCUGCGGCAGCGACACUGUGUGUUGUUGGGUAGGGGAGCGUUCUGUAAGCCUGUGAAGGUGUGUCGUGAGGCAUGCUGGAGGUAUCAGAAGUGCGAAUGCUGACAUAAGUAACGAUAAAGCGGGUGAAAAGCCCGCUCGCCGGAAGACCAAGGGUUCCUGUCCAACGUUAAUCGGGGCAGGGUGAGUCGACCCCUAAGGCGAGGCCGAAAGGCGUAGUCGAUGGGAAACGGGUUAAUAUUCCCGUACUUGGUGUUACUGCGAAGGGGGGACGGAGAAGGCUAUGUUGGCCGGGCGACGGUUGUCCCGGUUUAAGCGUGUAGGUGUGUGUUCCAGGUAAAUCCGGUUCACUUUAACACUGAGGCGUGACGACGAGGCACUACGGUGCUGAAGCAACAAAUGCCCUGCUUCCAGGAAAAGCCUCUAAGCAUCAGGUAACAUCAAAUCGUACCCCAAACCGACACAGGUGGUCAGGUAGAGAAUACCAAGGCGCUUGAGAGAACUCGGGUGAAGGAACUAGGCAAAAUGGUGCCGUAACUUCGGGAGAAGGCACGCUGACACGUAGGUGAAGUGAUUUACUCAUGGAGCUGAAGUCAGUCGAAGAUACCAGCUGGCUGCAACUGUUUAUUAAAAACACAGCACUGUGCAAACACGAAAGUGGACGUAUACGGUGUGACGCCUGCCCGGUGCCGGAAGGUUAAUUGAUGGGGUCAGCGCAAGCGAAGCUCCUGAUCGAAGCCCCGGUAAACGGCGGCCGUAACUAUAACGGUCCUAAGGUAGCGAAAUUCCUUGUCGGGUAAGUUCCGACCUGCACGAAUGGCGUAAUGAUGGCCAGGCUGUCUCCACCCGAGACUCAGUGAAAUUGAACUCGCUGUGAAGAUGCAGUGUACCCGCGGCAAGACGGAAAGACCCCGUGAACCUUUACUAUAGCUUGACACUGAACAUUGAGCCUUGAUGUGUAGGAUAGGUGGGAGGCUUUGAAGUGUGGACGCCAGUCUGCAUGGAGCCGACCUUGAAAUACCACCCUUUAAUGUUUGAUGUUCUAACGUGGACCCGUUACCCGGGUUGCGGACAGUGUCUGGUGGGUAGUUUGACUGGGGCGGUCUCCUCCUAAAGAGUAACGGAGGAGCACGAAGGUUGGCUAAUCCUGGUCGGACAUCAGGAGGUUAGUGCAAUGGCAUAAGCCAGCUUGACUGCGAGCGUGACGGCGCGAGCAGGUGCGAAAGCAGGUCAUAGUGAUCCGGUGGUUCUGAAUGGAAGGGCCAUCGCUCAACGGAUAAAAGGUACUCCGGGGAUAACAGGCUGAUACCGCCCAAGAGUUCAUAUCGACGGCGGUGUUUGGCACCUCGAUGUCGGCUCAUCACAUCCUGGGGCUGAAGUAGGUCCCAAGGGUAUGGCUGUUCGCCAUUUAAAGUGGUACGCGAGCUGGGUUUAGAACGUCGUGAGACAGUUCGGUCCCUAUCUGCCGUGGGCGCUGGAGAACUGAGGGGGGCUGCUCCUAGUACGAGAGGACCGGAGUGGACGCAUCACUGGUGUUCGGGUUGUCAUGCCAAUGGCACUGCCCGGUAGCUAAAUGCGGAAGAGAUAAGUGCUGAAAGCAUCUAAGCACGAAACUUGCCCCGAGAUGAGUUCUCCCUGAGACUUAGAGUCUCCUGAAGGAACGUUGAAGACGACGACGUUGAUAGGCCGGGUGUGUAAGCGCAGCGAUGCGUUGAGCUAACCGGUACUAAUGAACCGUGAGGCUUAACCUUACAACGCCGAAG